Molecule: ribosomal RNA, 875 nt
Filed under: uncultured marine group I thaumarchaeote
Lineage: Archaea; Thermoproteati; Nitrososphaerota
Description: bacterial SSU rRNA
Rfam family: Archaeal small subunit ribosomal RNA
Source: RNAcentral
CCUGACUGCUAUCGGAUUGAUACUAAGCCAUGCGAGUCAUUGUAGCAAUACAAGGCAUACGGCUCAGUAACGCGUAGUCAACCUAACCUAUGGACGGGAAUAACCUCGGGAAACUGAGAAUAAUGCCCGAUAGAACACUAUACCUGGAAUGGUUUGUGUUCCAAAUGAUUUAUCGCCAUAGGAUGGGACUGCGGCCUAUCAGUUUGUUGGUGAGGUAAUGGCCCACCAAGACUAUUACAGGUACGGGCUCUGAGAGGAGUAGCCCGGAGAUGGGUACUGAGACACGGACCCAGGCCCUAUGGGGCGCAGCAGGCGAGAAAACUUUGCAAUGUGCGAAAGCACGACAAGGUUAAUCCGAGUGAUUUGUGCUAAACGAAUCUUUUGUUAGUCCUAGUAACACUAACGAAUAAGGGGUGGGCAAGUUCUGGUGUCAGCCGCCGCGGUAAAACCAGCACCUCAAGUGGUCAGGAUGAUUAUUGGGCCUAAAGCAUCCGUAGCCGGCUCUGUAAGUUUUCGGUUAAAUCUGUACGCUUAACGUACAGGCUGCCGGGAAUACUGCAGAGCUAGGGAGUGGGAGAGGUAGACGGUACUCGGUAGGAAGUGGUAAAAUGCUUUGAUCUAUCGAUGACCACCUGUGGCGAAGGCGGUCUACCAGAACACGUCCGACGGUGAGGGAUGAAAGCUGGGGGAGCAAACCGGAUUAGAUACCCGGGUAGUCCCAGCUGUAAACUAUGCAAACUCAGUGAUGCAUCGGCUUGUGGCCAAUGCAGUGCUGCAGGGAAGCCGUUAAGUUUGCCGCCUGGGAAGUACGUACGCAAGUAUGAAACUUAAAGGAAUUGGCGGGGGAGCACCACAAGGGGUGAAGCCUGCGGUUC